ACUCCUACGGGGGGCAGCAGUGGGGGAUAUUGGACAAUGGGGGAAACCCUGAUCCAGCGAUGCCGCGUGAGGGAAGAAGGUUUUCGGAUUGUAAACCUCUGUGGAGGGGGACGAUAAUGACGGUACCCCUUUAGGAAGCCACGGCUAACUACGUGCCAGCAGCCGCGGUAAUACGUAGGUGGCGAGCGUUGUCCGGAAUUACUGGGUGUAAAGGGAGCGUAGACGGCAAUGCAAGUCCGGAGUGGAAUGCGGCAGCUCAACUGCCGAACUGCUCUGGAAACUGUAUGGCUUGAGUGCAGGAGGGG
This 305-nucleotide ribosomal RNA is filed under the name uncultured bacterium. Its description in RNAcentral is "bacterial SSU rRNA". It matches the Rfam family "Bacterial small subunit ribosomal RNA", at positions 335 to 657 of the family's 1533-position model. The record is from RNAcentral.